AUUGCUUCUUUGUCUUUUGGCUAAGAUCAAGUGUUGUAUCUGUUCUUAUCAGUAAAAAACAGUGAUAUGAAAAUACUAGUACUCAACUUGCAGGGUUGUUGUAACAUUAAAAGAGACAUUAGAACAUUAU
Molecule: small nuclear RNA, 130 nt
Filed under: Suricata suricatta (meerkat)
Lineage: Eukaryota; Metazoa; Chordata; Mammalia; Carnivora; Herpestidae
Description: U2 spliceosomal RNA (ENSSSUG00005006575.1)
Rfam family: U2 spliceosomal RNA
About the family: U2 is a small nuclear RNA (snRNA) component of the spliceosome (involved in pre-mRNA splicing). Complementary binding between U2 snRNA (in an area lying towards the 5' end but 3' to hairpin I) and the branchpoint sequence (BPS) of the intron results the bulging out of an unpaired adenosine, on the BPS, which initiates a nucleophilic attack at the intronic 5' splice site, thus starting the first of two transesterification reactions that mediate splicing.
Source: RNAcentral